This 232-nucleotide ribosomal RNA is filed under the name uncultured bacterium. RNAcentral describes it as "partial 16S ribosomal RNA". It matches the Rfam family "Bacterial small subunit ribosomal RNA", at positions 99 to 334 of the family's 1533-position model. The record is from RNAcentral.
CGGACGGGUGAGUAAUGUCUGGGAAACUGCCCGAUGGAGGGGGAUAACUACUGGAAACGGUAGCUAAUACCGCAUAACGUCGCAAGACCAAAGAGGGGGACCUUAGGGCCUCUUGCCAUCGGAUGUGCCCAGAUGGGACUAGCUAGUAGGUGGGGUAAUGGCUCACCUAGGCGACGAUCCCUAGCUGGUCUGAGAGGAUGACCAGCCACACUGGAACUGAGACACGGUCCAG